Leptidea sinapis is the source of this 1716-nucleotide RNA transcript. It is a transcript of the gene named ankyrin repeat, SAM and basic leucine zipper domain-containing protein 1, with no coding region annotated. NCBI's taxonomy places the organism in Eukaryota, Metazoa, Arthropoda, Insecta, Lepidoptera, Pieridae. The record is from RefSeq and is a predicted model, not a curated record. The transcript is spliced from 9 exons.
UAGAGCAAUUUUGUAACUCAUUGUAAUUUGAACGUAUUUAAAUUCUCUUUGACUAUGUAAUUAAUUUUUUACUGUACUGUUAUAGUCUUAAUUACCUAUAUCUUUUAAAAUAUCAAUUUCGUUAUCUGUAGUAUUUAUUGGUAUUUAACUACUUAUAUAUAAAACUUAAUAUAUAUUAAACAUGUUUCGGCCGGCUGGACUGUCCGAUGAAGAUUCUGAUAGUGAUGAUUAUGGUUAUUGUGAGAAACCGAUAAAAAAAUUCAAUUAUGCAGCACAAGAAAACAUUAAAAAGAAAACUGAAAAUAGGCUCCAGGAUGCUAUCAUUAAUGGAAAUCUUAAGGAAGUUGAAAAAAUUGUAUCAUUAGAUCUGAAUAAUAAUAUCAAUAUGCAUCUAGAAAGUGAUUGGACAGGUCUAAUGCAUGCAUGCUUUCAUGCCCAGAAGAAAAUAGUGGAUUUCUUUUUGGAGAAAGGUGCAGAUCCUAAUGUCCAUGCAGAUUCUGUUACUCCAGUCAUGGUGGCAUGUUCCAACAGAUGUAAUGAAACAGAUGUACACGACAUAGUGUCCAGUUUAAUAGAACAUGACUGUCUGCUGAAUGUGGGAGACAAGUACGGAGAGACUGCACUCAUGAGAGCCAUCGCUAGUGGACUGACUUCUGUGGUGGAACUAAUACUAAGUACCGACGUCAAUAUUGAAAUGAGGGAUCGCCAGGGAUGGACGGCUGUAUUCUGGGCAGUUCAUCAUAAUAAACCAAAAAUAUUGGAAUUACUGAUUGGGAAAGGUGCUCGGUUAUCAGAAGUUGAUAUGCAAAGCAGAACUCCUUUGGAUAUCGCUGAGUCUCACGAGUUUAAUGAUAUAACGGACAUUUUAAAAAGAUAUAUCAAAAAAGAUGACAGUGAAGACACAAAUGAAUGUGACGAGAAUGUCAUAACGCCAUGGCAACACUACUAUCCAGGAAUCACAAGUAAUGAAAGGCCAAACUAUAGUGGUGAAAUAAGUCACCUUCUCUACGGAAUGAACUGUGCGCGGCUUCAGCGUAUUUUCAAUGAAAGUAGAGUCGAUUUAAGGACGUUUCUCUUACUUGAAGAUGAUGAUAUGAUUAACAUGGGUGUAGAGAUGCCCUUCGAGAGACAGAGGCUUAGAGUCGGUCUCCGAGCAUUUCACACGCGGGCCUGGAAGUUGACAUCUGUGGUUGGAUUGCAGAUGCGACAAUGUGAUCACUUCAGUGUAGGCGGUUCCUUAGCUAUGUUGGGAAGUCACUUACAUCAGUUGUACGUCCUGGAGGCCACGCUUCAUUACGUACUGCGAGACUUUUGUAAAAUUCAAAACCAGAUUAAAUUCGAGCCCCCGGACUCACCCGUUAUUGAGAAACUGCAUUCGGGCGGAGCAGCACUGUUACAAAAUAUAUGUAGGUUGAGGAAGGAAGUUAAAAUUAUGACAGAAACACACGACAAGGAGGACAAACGAGCGUACGGGUCACCUGGUGUUAAGUGAUACUCUCCUGCAACACCAGAGGAAUCACAAGAGCGUUGCCGGCCUUUAAUUUAUAAGUAAAAGUAACCCAACUCCGGCUGAUCUUAUUCAGGAGAAGUCGACCAAAGAAGUUAUAUUAGCUUAUGCUUCAGAUGUUGUUAAGAUUUGUUCACUCGGAUUCCUCAUUUAUUAUGUUAAAAAUCAUAUAAUUGUUCCUUCAAUAAAAUAAUUAUUUUAAGAUCAAA